Molecule: ribosomal RNA, 2129 nt
Filed under: Neoechinorhynchus cylindratus
Lineage: Eukaryota; Metazoa; Acanthocephala; Eoacanthocephala; Neoechinorhynchida; Neoechinorhynchidae
Description: partial large subunit ribosomal RNA
Rfam family: Eukaryotic large subunit ribosomal RNA
Source: RNAcentral
AACUAUGCCUGAGUAGGAUGAAGCCGGAGGAAACUCUGGUGGAGGUCCGAAGCGCUUUUGACGUGCAAAUCAAUCGUCAGACUUGGGUAUAGGGGCGAAAGACUAAUCGAACCAUCUAGUAGCUGGUUCCCUUCGAAGUUUCCCCCAGGAAAGCUGGUGCCAUGUUUGACAGUUUUAUCUGGUAAAGCGAAUGAUUAGAGGCAUUGGGGACGAAUUGUCCUCGACCUAUUCUCAAACUUUAAAUGGGUAAUGUACCGUUGUACUUCUUGAUAUUCAUGAGUGCUCGGUCAAAUGCAAUGGCACCAAGUGGGCCAUUUUUGGUAAGCAGAACUGGCGAUGUGGGAUGAACCAAACGUUGAGCUAGGAUGCCCAAAGUGCUUCUCAUGAGAUACCAUGAAAGGUGUCAGUCGAUAUUGACAGCAGGACGGUGGCCGCAGAAGUAGGAAUCCGCUAAGGAGUGUGUAACAACUCACCUGCCGAAUCGACUGGUCCUGAAAAUGGAUGGCGCUGGAGACGUAUAUCCAUGCUCGACCGUCAAUGCCAACGAAAGCGAUUGCUAUAUGGCUUGACGUGUAGAAGGGCGAUUGCCGUGGCGUCGAAACUUGCACCGUGAGGUGGGGUAGAGCUGCGGCAUGUGCAGAUCUUGGUGGUAGUAGCAAGUAUUCAAAUGAGAGCAUUGAAGACUGAAGUGGAGUAAGGUUCCAUGUGAACAGCAUUUGGACAUGGAUCAGCCGAUCCUAAGAGAACGUGUAAGUUCGUGAUUAAGCGCGUCGCCUUGUGCGUCGCAAUCGAAAGGGAAUCGGGUUAAUAUUCCCGAGCCAGGAUACGGAAUGAGCCUGAUUAAUCGAAAGUACCUUGUGUGCUUUUGACUUCAGGCAAAAGCGGCAACGCCAACAAACCCAGAGAUUAACUAUGCGAAGUCCGGGGAAGAGUUUUCUCUUCUUUGUAAGGGAUGUUAUCCCUGGAAACAGAUUGUCUGGCGAUAGGGUACGCAUCCCGUAAUGCAACGCGAUUCCUGCGAUGUACCGUGCGCUUCGUAUAGUGCUUGAAAAUCUGGGAGCGAGUUUGUUCAGGCCGUACCUGUUCGUACUGAUUUCCGCAGCAGGUCUCCAAGGUGAGCAGCCUCUAGUCGAUGGGACAAAGUAGACAAGGGAAGUCGGCAAAUUAGAUCCGUAACUUCGGAAAAAGGAUUGGCUCUAAAGGCUGAGUUGGUCGGGCGGUUGCGUAAAGCUGGGAGCGAUGCUUUGACUCUGUCUCAGACUCCAUACUCGCAAGGGAUAUGUAAUCGGCGGCGGAGCUUAGUAUUUGCUCACUGUGGACCGCGGUCGCUAUGCCACCCAUGCGGUGUCAAAAUUCAUUUUCGAGCCGUGCGGUGUGGAUCCGAUCAGCGUUUAACAGCUGACCUAGAACUGGUAUGGACAAGGGGAAUCCAACUGUUUAAUUAAAACAAAGCAUUGCGAUAGCUGUAAUCGGUGUUGACGCGAUGUGAUUUCUGCCCAGUGCUCUGAAUGUUAAAGUGAAGGAACUCAUUAAAGCGCGAGUUAACGGCGGAAGUAACUAUGACUUUCUUAAGGUAGCCAAAUGCCUCGUCAUCUAAUUAGUGACGUGCAUGAAUGGAUUAUUGAGAUUCCUUCUGUCCCUGUCUGCAACCUAGCGAAACCACAGCCAAGGGAACGGGCUUGGAGAGUAACAGCGGGGAAAGAAGACCCUGUUGAGCUUGACUCUAGUCAGUCUUUGUGAAGAAACAUGAUGGGUGUAGAAUAGGUGGGAGGACGCGACAGUGAAAUACCACUACUAUCAUCGUUUCUUUACUUACUCAAUUGAUCAGGGAGCGUGAAUUCGCUAUUUGCGAUGUAUGAUUAUUCCUUCAGUGGAAUAAGUGUCUGGUUUGAGAACACAGACUGAUUGGGAGUUUGACUGGGGCGGUACAUCUGUUAAAAUCUAACGCAGGUGUCCUAAGGCAAUCUCAGCGUGGACAGAAACCUCGCAUAGAGCGAAAGGGCAAAAGAUUGCUUGAUCUUGAUUUUCAGUACGAAUAAAGACAAUGAAAGUUUGGCUUGUCGAUCCUUUUGAAUUUUACGAGUUUUAAGCAAGAGGUGUCAGAAAAGUUACCACAGGGAUAACUGGCU